Molecule: ribosomal RNA, 387 nt
Filed under: uncultured Prorocentrum
Lineage: Eukaryota; Dinophyceae; Prorocentrales; Prorocentraceae
Description: partial small subunit ribosomal RNA
Rfam family: Eukaryotic small subunit ribosomal RNA
Source: RNAcentral
GCUUGUCUCAAAGAUUAAGCCAUGCAUGUCUAAGUAUAAGCCUUUGUACGGCGAAACUGCGAAUGGCUCAUUAAAACAGUUAUAGUUUAUUCGAUAAUCAAUUGCUACAUGGAUAACUGUAGUAAUUCUAGAGCUAAUACAUGCGUCAGAACCCAACUUUACGGAAGGGUCGUGUUUAUUAGAUACAAAACCAACAUCUCGUUGGUGAUUCAUAAUAACCAAGCGAAUCGUCGGUUUACCGACGAUAGAUCGUUCAAGUUUCUGCCCUAUCAGCUUUCGAUGGUAGUGUAUUGGACUACCAUGGCAGUCACGGGUAACGGAGAAUUAGGGUUCGGUUCCGGAGAGGGAGCCUGAGAAACGGCUACCACAUCCAAGGAAGGCAGCAGG